RNAcentral lists this ribosomal RNA (416 nucleotides) under uncultured bacterium. RNAcentral's name for it is "bacterial SSU rRNA". It matches the Rfam family "Bacterial small subunit ribosomal RNA", at positions 963 to 1390 of the family's 1533-position model. The record is from RNAcentral.
GAAGAACCUUACCUGGGCUUGACAUGUACGUAGUAAUGAAGGGAAACCGGAACGAGCCUUCGGGCAGCGUAGACAGGUGCUGCAUGGCUGUCGUCAGCUCGUGUCGUGAGAUGUUGGGUUAAGUCCCGCAACGAGCGCAACCCGUGUUGCUAGUUACAAGUGUCUAGCGAGACUGCCGGUAACAAGCCGGAGGAAGGUGCGGAUGAUGUCAAGUCAGCAUGGCCUAUAUGUCCAGGGCUACACACACGCUACAAUGGCUGGUACAAAGAGAAGCGAAAGGGAGACCUGAAGCGAAUCUCAUCAAAGCCAGUCAUAGUUCGGAUUGCAGGCUGCAACUCGCCUGCAUGAAGUCGGAGUUGCUAGUAACCGCAGGUCAGCAAUACUGCGGUGAAUACGUUCCCGGGCCUUGUACACAC